Oryctolagus cuniculus (rabbit) is the source of this 122-nucleotide small nuclear RNA. Its record names the gene U2. It matches the Rfam family "U2 spliceosomal RNA". Rfam says of the family: U2 is a small nuclear RNA (snRNA) component of the spliceosome (involved in pre-mRNA splicing). Complementary binding between U2 snRNA (in an area lying towards the 5' end but 3' to hairpin I) and the branchpoint sequence (BPS) of the intron results the bulging out of an unpaired adenosine, on the BPS, which initiates a nucleophilic attack at the intronic 5' splice site, thus starting the first of two transesterification reactions that mediate splicing. The record is from Ensembl. NCBI's taxonomy places the organism in Eukaryota, Metazoa, Chordata, Mammalia, Lagomorpha, Leporidae.
AUCGCUUCUUGGCCUUUUGGCUAAGAUCAAGUGUAGUAUCUGUUCUUAUCAGUAUAAAGAGAACAGAUUUCAAGUAUUUUAUAGAUGCAGUUCUAAGAAGAUAAUCAUAUUUCCGUCCCUUC